GAUGAACGCUGGCGGCGUGCCUAACACAUGCAAGUCGAGCGGAAGGACGGUGCUUUUGCUCGGAUUUCGAGGGGGACGGGUGUGUAAAUCCCAGGAGUAUGCCUGGCAUUGGGGGGUGAGAUCCGGAAACGAGCGCUGAUAAAGCAUACGAUCAGAUGGUGAAACGGGGGGGUCUUUGGACAUUACCGGAUUUGAUGAGACUAGGUGGGAUUAGCUAGUUGGUUGGGUAAAGGCCUACCAAGGCGACGAUGCGUAACUGGGCUGAGAGGAUGAUCAGUCACACUGGAACUGAGACACGGUCCAGACUCCUACGGGAGGCAGCAGUGGGGAAUAUUGGACAAUGGGCGAAAGCCUGACCCAGCCAUGCCGCGUGUGUGAAGAAGGUCUUCGGAUUGUAAAGCACUUUUAGUUGGGAGGAAGGGCAGUAAGUUAAUACCUUGCUGUUUUGACGUUACCAACAGAAUAAGCACCGGCUAACUUCGUG
This 484-nucleotide ribosomal RNA is filed under the name uncultured bacterium. RNAcentral describes it as "partial 16S ribosomal RNA". It matches the Rfam family "Bacterial small subunit ribosomal RNA", at positions 28 to 507 of the family's 1533-position model. The record is from RNAcentral.